RNAcentral lists this ribosomal RNA (253 nucleotides) under uncultured bacterium. RNAcentral's name for it is "partial 16S ribosomal RNA". It matches the Rfam family "Bacterial small subunit ribosomal RNA", at positions 524 to 776 of the family's 1533-position model. The record is from RNAcentral.
UACGUAGGGGGCAAGCGUUGUCCGGAUUUAUUGGGCGUAAAGAGCGUGUAGGCGGCCAGGUAGGUCCGUUGUGAAAACUCGAGGCUCAACCUCGAGACGUCGAUGGAAACCAUCUGGCUAGAGUCCGGAAGAGGAGAGUGGAAUUCCUGGUGUAGCGGUGAAAUGCGCAGAUAUCAGGAAGAACACCCGUGGCGAAGGCGGCUCUCUGGGCCGGUACUGACGCUGAGGAGCGAAAGCGUGGGGAGCAAACAGG